AAGCUUGAAGACGAGGAGAUUGCAUCAUACAUCCUCAUCGGUCUCAACGUCGACUUCAACCCUGUCGUCUCUGUGAUGGCGGCACACGCCGAACCCAUCACACUUGGUGAGCUCUAUACCCAACUUGUUUCCUUUGAAC
RNAcentral lists this small nucleolar RNA (139 nucleotides) under Setaria italica (foxtail millet). RNAcentral describes it as "Small nucleolar RNA Z247". It matches the Rfam family "Small nucleolar RNA Z247". From Rfam's summary of the family: Z247 is a member of the C/D class of snoRNA which contain the C (UGAUGA) and D (CUGA) box motifs. Most of the members of the box C/D family function in directing site-specific 2'-O-methylation of substrate RNAs. The record is from Rfam by way of RNAcentral. Lineage: Eukaryota; Viridiplantae; Streptophyta; Magnoliopsida; Poales; Poaceae.